RNAcentral lists this ribosomal RNA (468 nucleotides) under uncultured bacterium. RNAcentral describes it as "partial 16S ribosomal RNA". It matches the Rfam family "Bacterial small subunit ribosomal RNA", at positions 28 to 507 of the family's 1533-position model. The record is from RNAcentral.
GACGAACGCUGGCGGCGGGCUUAACACAUGCAAGUCGAACGGAAAGGCCCUGCUUUUGUGGGGUGCUCGAGUGGCGAACGGGUGUGUAACAUGUGAGUAACCUUCCCUUGACUGUGUGAUAACUUCAGGAAACUGGUGCUAAUACCGGAUAGGAGCUCCUGCUGCAUGGUGGGGUUUGGAAAGUUUCGGCGGAUGGGGAUGGACUCGCGGCUUAUCAGCUUGUGGGUGGGGUAGUGGCUUACCAAGGCUUCGACGGGUAGCCGGCCUGAGAGGGUGGCCGGCGACAUUGGGACUAAGAUACGGAGCAGACUCGUACGGGAGGCAGCAGUCGGAAAUAUUGCCCAGUGGGCGGAAGCCUGAUGCAGAGGCGCCGCGUGCGGGAUGACGGCCUUCGGGUUGUAAACCGCUUUCGCCUGUGACGAAGCGGGAGUGACGGUAAUGGGUGAAGAAGCACCGGCUAACUACGUG